CCUCAUUUUUCCUCUUCCGCACAGCACCUAUUUCCACCCGAACCAUUCAUAGGAACUGUUUCUCAUCCAGCCUCUGCAAACUUGAACGCUUUGAUAUAAAUAUUGGACAUGAUUCCUAUAUGAGAGGAAGAAUCCACUGUUGUGAUGAAGCAAAGUGUGAAGCACAGCAAUUUCCUGGACUGCCCCUCUCCUUUCCAAAUGGAUACCACUGCCCUGGCAUUCUUGGUUUAUUCUCAGUGGACAGCUCUGAACAUGAAGCUAUUUGCAGAGGAA
Molecule: non-coding RNA, 273 nt
Organism: Notechis scutatus (mainland tiger snake)
Lineage: Eukaryota; Metazoa; Chordata; Lepidosauria; Squamata; Elapidae
Source: RefSeq, a predicted model, not a curated record